CAUAUGUUAAUUAGCAUAUGUUACUCAACAUAGUCCACAAAUACAUUAACAUGCAUAUGUUCCAACCUGCAUAAUAUAGCCUAUGCAUUCAUACAACACCAUUUUCAUGCAUCUCUCUAACAUUUAGUUCAUGCAUCUCUCUAACAUUUAGUUCAUGCAUCUCUCUAACAUUUGUUAUAUUAAUUUGCCAUUGUCCACUAGCAUGCAUUAUAUUCAUAUGCAAUUAUCAUGUAACGUACAUUUCUCACAUUAUAUGCAUUUACCCAAUCUUCACAUCGCAUGCAUCAUAUAGCAUUUAACCCAUUAUAUGCAUCAACUAGAAAAUCAUAUUUUUCUUCGACAUGAAGGCGACCUAGUCGCUUCGGUAAGCACAACCCACUUGUUAGUGCAUUCCGAUUGCUUGUCGACACUUGCAAUCGGCCUCCUGCGGCAUCCGGUGCCCGGUUCCGUCGGAACUUGCAAUUGCGCACCAACCGCGCAUCGCUUCGCAGCCUCGGGCAAAAAGGGUCUUCGUUUUGUUGUUACAGUGCCUCAAAUCCGAUUCCAUGAUUUUACGACGUCGCCUCGGCCCUCCAGGCGGAAACGAAGCCUAAACGUCCGUUUCUUUAAUAACUUCGCACCGGCUCGACGAAUCGCCGAACCGACUUCGCCAGCGCGUUCGUUUACCUAGCAAUUAGGUUUACAGAGGGUCAAAUGAGAUCAAAUCCUCAUAUUUACCAAACUAGCAUUUUUGAGUCCUAUCAUGAAAUAACCUCCAAAUAAUCCAAAUUAAAUGGAGCAAUAUGCUAAUAAUGAUCAUUAGAGGCUACUAGAACUCUUAAAGCUAAGGAUUAAGCCAAAUCCCAAAAGCUUACCCCAAUGUGAACGCCGCAACGAAAACACGCCGCUCCAACGGGCGCACGAAAGCUCGAUCCGUCGCCUCCAACGCGUUCGCAAGCUCGAUCUCCACCAACCCUCCAAUUUUUAGAAAGAGAUAUAGAGAGAUGAGAGAGAUAUUUAGAGAAAGAAAGGAGGGUUUCUCUCCCCCUUCCAUGCGUGCGUGUGUGUGUCCAUGGU
RNAcentral lists this long non-coding RNA (1056 nucleotides) under Ananas comosus (pineapple). RNAcentral's name for it is "long non-coding RNA (ACOM_LNC023365)". The record is from RNAcentral. Lineage: Eukaryota; Viridiplantae; Streptophyta; Magnoliopsida; Poales; Bromeliaceae.